This is a small nuclear RNA of Mesocricetus auratus (golden hamster), 102 nucleotides long. The record is from Ensembl. NCBI's taxonomy places the organism in Eukaryota, Metazoa, Chordata, Mammalia, Rodentia, Cricetidae.
GUGCCCAAUAGCACAUACAGAGCAUAUGGAAUGGUGCAGAGAAGAUCAGUGUGGCUCCUUUACAAUGAUGACACGAAAAUUCAUGAAGAGUUUCACAUUUUU